GACGAACGCUGGCGGCGUGCCUAAUACAUGCAAGUCGAGCGAAGUUUUUCUGGUGCUUGCACUAGAAAAACUUAGCGGCGAACGGGUGAGUAACACGUAAAGAACCUGCCUCAUAGACGGGGACAACUAUUGGAAACGAUAGCUAAUACCGGAUAACAGCAUAAAUCGCAUGAUAUAUGUUUAAAAGUUGGUUUCGGCUAACACUAUGAGAUGGCUUUGCGGUGCAUUAGCUAGUUGGUGGGGUAAAGGCCUACCAAGGCGACGAUGCAUAGCCGACCUGAGAGGGUGAUCGGCCACACUGGGACUGAGACACGGCCCAGACUCCUACGGGAGGCAGCAGUAGGGAAUCUUCCGCAAUGGGCGAAAGCCUGACGGAGCAACGCCGCGUGAGUGAAGAAGGAUCUCGGUUCGUAAAGCUCUGUUGUUAGGGAAGAAUGAUUGUAUAGUAACUAUAUACAGUAGAGACGGUACCUAACCAGAAAGCC
Molecule: ribosomal RNA, 485 nt
Filed under: Gemella sanguinis
Lineage: Bacteria; Bacillati; Bacillota; Bacilli; Caryophanales; Gemellaceae
Description: bacterial SSU rRNA
Rfam family: Bacterial small subunit ribosomal RNA
Source: RNAcentral